GCAACCUCGGGCUCGCGCGGCAGAACCGCACCGUGUUCCUGAGCCUGCUCGGCAUUUCGUGGCUGUGGUUCGUCGGCGCGACGUUCCUCACGUCGUUCUUCAAUUUCGCCAAGGACGUGCUG
This is a non-coding RNA of Burkholderia latens, 122 nucleotides long. Lineage: Bacteria; Pseudomonadati; Pseudomonadota; Betaproteobacteria; Burkholderiales; Burkholderiaceae. The record is from Rfam.